GGAAAGUUGAAAAGUACUUUGAAGAGAGAGUUCAAGAGGACGUGAAACCGGUAGGAUGGAAACGGAUAGAGCCAACGAACAAGCCCGUAUUCAGCUAGUCGGCUGCGUGCGGCAUGCCUGUGUGCCCGAUAGGGUGGAUGGGUGUGUGCGGUAUGCUACCGGCUAGUGCAUUUGCGGGUGAUGUGCGCUGAGGCGUGUGGUGGUGUCCGGCAAACCGUCUGGAGAGGACUUGCCUUCGGGCUUGAAACCUACAGGCGGGGAGUAGGGUUACUGCUGCAUGUAGAUAAAGCGAUCAGGUGCAAACGCGGUGUCGUGUUGCCGGGCUAGCUGCUUGGUCGGUCGCAUGCGACUAGGCCUCGUUGGUUAGUCUUGGUGGCGCGGUACUGACCUGGUCGACCCUCGGUGUAAAAGUUGGUCAUCUCUCCGACCCGUCUUGAAACACGGACCAAGGAGUCUAGCGUAUACGCGAGUCAUUGGGUGGAAAACCCAUAGGCGCAAUGAAAGUGAAGGUCUCUUUAUGAGGCUGAUAUGCGAUCCGUUGCACUUCGGUGUACGCGGAGCAGCAUAGCCCCGUCUCGACUGCUUGCAGUGGGGCGGAGGUAGAGCGUAUGCGCUGGUACCCGAAAGAUGGUGAACUAUGCCUGAGCAGGAUGAAGCCAGAGGAAACUCUGGUGGAGGUCCGAAGCGCUUCUGACGUGCAAAUCGAUCGUCUGACUUGGGUAUAGGGGCGAAA
RNAcentral lists this ribosomal RNA (733 nucleotides) under Acrobeloides camberenensis. RNAcentral's name for it is "LSU rRNA". It matches the Rfam family "Eukaryotic large subunit ribosomal RNA", at positions 358 to 928 of the family's 3401-position model. The record is from RNAcentral. Lineage: Eukaryota; Metazoa; Nematoda; Chromadorea; Rhabditida; Cephalobidae.